RNAcentral lists this ribosomal RNA (236 nucleotides) under uncultured Actinomycetales bacterium. RNAcentral's name for it is "partial 16S ribosomal RNA". It matches the Rfam family "Bacterial small subunit ribosomal RNA", at positions 97 to 334 of the family's 1533-position model. Lineage: Bacteria; Bacillati; Actinomycetota; Actinomycetes; Actinomycetales. The record is from RNAcentral.
GGCGAACGGGUGAGUAACACGUGAGUAACCUGUCCACAACUUUGGGAUAACGCUAGGAAACUGGUGCUAAUACUGGAUAUGUGCUCCUGCUGCAUGGUGGGGGUUGGAAAGCUCCGGCGGUUGUGGAUGGACUCGCGGCCUAUCAGCUUGUUGGUGGGGUAGUGGCCUACCAAGGCGGCGACGGGUAGCCGGCCUGAGAGGGUGACCGGCCACAUUGGGACUGAGAUACGGCCCAG